GCACCACUUGGGUUAGGGGGGCUAGGGUUUCUGUUAGGUGUUUAGGUUUUGGGCUGAUUGGGCUGUUAGGGUUUUUAUUUUUUGGGCUUGUAUUUGGUCUGCUAUUUUUUUGUAAAUGGACUGGAUAUUUGUGCUUUUUUUGUUUUAUUUUUGUAUGGUCUUGGGCCCUAGCUAAAUUGGGCUUACAGUGUGUUUUGAUUAACGGUGGGAUGUGAGUAGUGAAUAUACUUGGUUAAUAUUCAGUUAUGUUUUGUGUUUAUAUAUGUGAGUUUUGUUCGUAUAUUUUGCUAAGAAUUAUUGAUAAAUUUUUUAUAUUGAUGUUCUUAUUAUAAACAUGUAAGGUUGUUUAAUUCAUUUGUGAUUUGGCUAUUUGGUUUUGAGUUGUGAUGGAAAGUUUAUA
Molecule: long non-coding RNA, 400 nt
Filed under: Gossypium raimondii (Peruvian cotton)
Lineage: Eukaryota; Viridiplantae; Streptophyta; Magnoliopsida; Malvales; Malvaceae
Description: long non-coding RNA (GRAI_LNC002841)
Source: RNAcentral